UACGAAGGGGGCUAGCGUUGUUCGGAAUCACUGGGCGUAAAGGGUGCGUAGGCGGGUCUUUAAGUCAGGGGUGAAAUCCUGGAGCUCAACUCCUGAACUGCCUUUGAUACUGAAGAUCUUGAGUUCGGGAGAGGUGAGUGGAACUGCGAGUGUAGAGGUGAAAUUCGUAGAUAUUCGCAAGAACACCAGUGGCGAAGGCGGCUCACUGGCCCGAUACUGACGCUGAGGCACGAAAGCGUGGGGAGCAAACAGG
RNAcentral lists this ribosomal RNA (253 nucleotides) under uncultured bacterium. RNAcentral describes it as "partial 16S ribosomal RNA". It matches the Rfam family "Bacterial small subunit ribosomal RNA", at positions 524 to 776 of the family's 1533-position model. The record is from RNAcentral.